This 253-nucleotide ribosomal RNA is filed under the name uncultured bacterium. RNAcentral describes it as "partial 16S ribosomal RNA". It matches the Rfam family "Bacterial small subunit ribosomal RNA", at positions 524 to 776 of the family's 1533-position model. The record is from RNAcentral.
UACGUAGGGUGCGAGCGUUAAUCGGAAUUACUGGGCGUAAAGAGCGCGCAGGCGGUCGUUCAAGUCGAGUGUGAAAGCCCCCGGCUCAACUGGGGAGGGUCACUCGAUACUGAUCGACUUGAAGGCAGGAGAGGGAAGCGGAAUUCCCGGUGUAGUGGUGAAAUGCGUAGAUAUCGGGAGGAACACCAGUGGCGAAGGCGGCUUCCUGGCCUGUUCUUGACGCUGAGGCGCGAAAGCUAGGGGAGCAAACGGG